Long non-coding RNA from Lineus longissimus, 406 nucleotides. RefSeq lists it as uncharacterized. The record is from RefSeq and is a predicted model, not a curated record. NCBI's taxonomy places the organism in Eukaryota, Metazoa, Nemertea, Pilidiophora, Heteronemertea, Lineidae. The transcript has 2 exons.
CAAAGACAUGAAGAAAAAGGUCAAGGACCUGAAGACAAAGGCCAAGAAGGACGAGAAGUCCGGGAAGAAGGACAAGGCCGAUAACAGUAUGAAGGCAAUGAGGGAGUUGAUAAAGAAAAUUAGAGCAAUAACUGAAAAGAUACUGGGCGCGGAGAAAAAGAUUGAAGUCAUCAAGGGAAAGAAAUCCGAGGGUGGCAAGACGGGUGGCAAGCCCGCCGCGAAACCAAAGAAAGGCGGGAAGGAGGACAGUAAGGGAAAAGGCGGGAAGAAAGACAGCAAGGGAAAAAAGAAAAACUAAAAAGAUGAGUGGUGUAAAAGGCUGAAAGUUGAACUGACGCAAGGAAAUUUCAAAACGUCCGAUUCUCUGUAAAAGUAGUUGUUUGGAAAUAAAAAUUGUUUGCAUUAA